This 253-nucleotide ribosomal RNA is filed under the name uncultured bacterium. Its description in RNAcentral is "partial 16S ribosomal RNA". It matches the Rfam family "Bacterial small subunit ribosomal RNA", at positions 524 to 776 of the family's 1533-position model. The record is from RNAcentral.
GACGUAGGGCGCGAGCGUUGUCCGGAUUUAUUGGGCGUAAAGAGCUCGUAGGCGGCUUGUCGCGUCGUGUGUGAAAUCUCAGGGCUCAACUCUGACAUUGCAUACGAUACGGGCAGGCUUGAGUUCGGUAGGGGAGACUGGAAUUCCUGGUGUAGCGGUGAAAUGCGUAGAUAUCAGGAGGAACACCUGUGGUGUAGACGGCUCUCUGGACAGUAACUGACGCUGAGACACGAAAGCGUGGGUAGCAAACAGG